This 407-nucleotide ribosomal RNA is filed under the name uncultured bacterium. Its description in RNAcentral is "partial 16S ribosomal RNA". It matches the Rfam family "Bacterial small subunit ribosomal RNA", at positions 30 to 526 of the family's 1533-position model. The record is from RNAcentral.
AUUGAACGCUGGCGGCAGGCCUAACACAUGCAAGUCGAGCGGAGCGGCGGACGGGUGAGUAAUGCCUAGGAAUCUGCCUGGUAGUGGGGGAUAACGUCCGGAAUCGGGCGCUAAUACCGCAUACUAUCAGAUGAGCCUAGGUCGGAUUAGCUAGUUGGUGGGGUAAAGGCCUACCAAGGCGACGAUCCGUAACUGGUCUGAGAGGAUGAUCAGUCACACGGGAACUGAGAUACGGUCCAGACGCCUACGAGCGGCAGCAGUGGGGAAUAUUGGACAAUCGGCGAAAGCCUGCGCCAGCCAUUGCGCGUGUGUGAAGAAGGUCUUCGGAUUGUAAAGCACUUUAAGUUGGGAGGCGGUACCAGCAGAAUAAGCGCUGGCUAACUACGUGCCAGCAGCCGCGGUAAUAC